This is a small nuclear RNA of Delphinapterus leucas (beluga whale), 122 nucleotides long. Its record names the gene U4. It matches the Rfam family "U4 spliceosomal RNA". Rfam says of the family: U4 small nuclear RNA (U4 snRNA) is a component of the major U2-dependent spliceosome. The structure of U4 snRNA from yeast and human has been reported. U4 snRNA presents a k-turn RNA motif in the 5p-SL related to recognition of Snu13 protein. The record is from Ensembl. NCBI's taxonomy places the organism in Eukaryota, Metazoa, Chordata, Mammalia, Artiodactyla, Monodontidae.
AGCUUUGUGCAGUGGCAGUAUCAUAGCCAAUGAGGUUUAUCUGAGGCGUGAUACUGCUAAUUGUAAAUAGUGCUGCUAUGAACAUUGGGGUGCAUGUAUCUUUUUGAGUUAGAGUUUUCUCU